RNAcentral lists this ribosomal RNA (519 nucleotides) under uncultured bacterium. RNAcentral describes it as "partial 16S ribosomal RNA". It matches the Rfam family "Bacterial small subunit ribosomal RNA", at positions 28 to 507 of the family's 1533-position model. The record is from RNAcentral.
GACGAACGCUGGCGGCGUGCCUAAUACAUGCAAGUCGAGCGAGUCUGCCUUGAAGAUCGGAGUGCUUGCACUCUGUGAAACAAGAUACAGGCUAGCGGCGGACGGGUGAGUAACACGUGGGUAACCUGCCCAAGAGAUCGGGAUAACACCUGGAAACAGAUGCUAAUACCGGAUAACAACAGAUGAUGCCUAUCAACUGUUUAAAAGAUGGUUCUGCUAUCACUCUUGGAUGGACCUGCGGUGCAUUAGCUAGUCUGUAGGGUAACGGCCUACCAAGGCGAUGAUGCAUAGCCGAGUUGAGAGACUGAUCGGCCACAUUGGGACUGAGACACGGCCCAAACUCCUACGGGAGGCAGCAGUAGGGAAUCUUCCACAAUGGACGCAAGUCUGAUGGAGCAACGCCGCGUGAGUGAAGAAGGGUUUCGGCUCGUAAAGCUCUGUUGUUGGUGAAGAAGGACAGGGGUAGUAACUGACCUUUGUUUGACGGUAAUCAAUUAGAAAGUCACGGCUAACUAAGUG